CAGCCGCGUAAUUCCAGCUCCAAUAGCGUAUAUUAAAGUUGUUGCAGUUAAAAAGCUCGUAGUUGAAUUUCGGGAUCAAUGUUUCGGUCAUGCCGUUGGUAUGUACUGAUAUUAUUGAUUUCUCACCUUCUAAAGAACCGUAAUGCCAUUAAUUUGGUGUCACGGGGAAUUAGGACUGUUACCUUGAAAAAAUUAGAGUGUUUAAAGCAGGCUCACGCUUGAAUACAUUAGCAUGGAAUAAUGAAAUAGGACAUCCGAUUCUAUUUUGUUGGUUUCUAGGAUCGAUGUAAUGAUUAAUAGGGAUAGUUGGGGGCAUUAGUAUUCAAUUGUCAGAGGUGAAAUUCUUGGAUUUAUUGAAGACUAACUACUGCGAAAGCAUUUGCCAAGGAUGUUUUCAUUAAUCAAGAACGAAAGUUAGGGGAUCGAAGACGAUCAGAUACCGUCGUAGUCUUAACCAUAAACUAUGCCGACUAGGGAUCGGAUGAUGUUAAUUUUUUAAUGACUCAUUCGGCGCCUUACG
This 520-nucleotide unclassified non-coding RNA is filed under the name uncultured Glomeromycotina. RNAcentral's name for it is "SSU rRNA". It matches the Rfam family "Eukaryotic small subunit ribosomal RNA", at positions 571 to 1092 of the family's 1831-position model. The record is from RNAcentral. Lineage: Eukaryota; Fungi; Glomeromycota.